Molecule: ribosomal RNA, 862 nt
Filed under: Escherichia coli
Lineage: Bacteria; Pseudomonadati; Pseudomonadota; Gammaproteobacteria; Enterobacterales; Enterobacteriaceae
Description: partial 23S ribosomal RNA
Rfam family: Bacterial large subunit ribosomal RNA
Source: RNAcentral
CGAUGAGUAGGGCGGGACACGUGGUAUCCUGUCUGAAUAUGGGGGGACCAUCCUCCAAGGCUAAAUACUCCUGACUGACCGAUAGUGAACCAGUACCGUGAGGGAAAGGCGAAAAGAACCCCGGCGAGGGGAGUGAAAAAGAACCUGAAACCGUGUACGUACAAGCAGUGGGAGCACGCUUAGGCGUGUGACUGCGUACCUUUUGUAUAAUGGGUCAGCGACUUAUAUUCUGUAGCAAGGUUAACCGAAUAGGGGAGCCGAAGGGAAACCGAGUCUUAACUGGGCGUUAAGUUGCAGGGUAUAGACCCGAAACCCGGUGAUCUAGCCAUGGGCAGGUUGAAGGUUGGGUAACACUAACUGGAGGACCGAACCGACUAAUGUUGAAAAAUUAGCGGAUGACUUGUGGCUGGGGGUGAAAGGCCAAUCAAACCGGGAGAUAGCUGGUUCUCCCCGAAAGCUAUUUAGGUAGCGCCUCGUGAAUUCAUCUCCGGGGGUAGAGCACUGUUUCGGCAAGGGGGUCAUCCCGACUUACCAACCCGAUGCAAACUGCGAAUACCGGAGAAUGUUAUCACGGGAGACACACGGCGGGUGCUAACGUCCGUCGUGAAGAGGGAAACAACCCAGACCGCCAGCUAAGGUCCCAAAGUCAUGGUUAAGUGGGAAACGAUGUGGGAAGGCCCAGACAGCCAGGAUGUUGGCUUAGAAGCAGCCAUCAUUUAAAGAAAGCGUAAUAGCUCACUGGUCGAGUCGGCCUGCGCGGAAGAUGUAACGGGGCUAAACCAUGCACCGAAGCUGCGGCAGCGACACUAUGUGUUGUUGGGUAGGGGAGCGUUCUGUAAGCCUGCGAAGGUGUGCUGUGAGG